Molecule: RNA transcript, 3844 nt
Organism: Musa acuminata AAA Group (dessert banana)
Lineage: Eukaryota; Viridiplantae; Streptophyta; Magnoliopsida; Zingiberales; Musaceae
Gene name: zinc finger CCCH domain-containing protein 24-like
Exons: 4
Source: RefSeq, a predicted model, not a curated record
GGGCGGUGUCUCAUUUGGUUUCAUUUGGGGGUGGGUUUUGUGGGGAGCGACCGAGACCUCUCAUAAAUCGGCCGUGGUGGUGUGGUGUGGAGGCGGCGCCUAGUUUGUUCUCCGGAUCACCACUUGCUCGCUUGCGGCGUCGGCCGUCGCCUUUUCCCGGUCCCGCUCCCCUGGUGGUUCAAGCAUCGGGAGCGCAUUGACGCCGGUUUCGAUCGCAGCCUUCCCGAUCUACUCUCUUCGGCUGACGGGAUCCGUGAGCUCUCUCAGAUCUCUCUUCCGUGUUCUCCGAGUCUCUGCUGAUUUAUUUGACUCUUUUGGUGUUCUAUAUGAGAAAUAAGUCGUCGUCUUGGCGAUCCAGUCAACUUGUCUAUUUCAUGCCGGCCGCAGCAUGUGUGGUGGUCCGGAGCGCAUAAAGCCUUCAUCGUCGUCGUCGCCGGCUCCAACCUCACGGGGAGAGCAUCAGCAACACGGUCCGGUCUUGGGAAUGAAUCAUCUCACCGUCGAGAUCGCUGACUCCUCGAGCCUCCUUGAACUCGCAGCCAACAACGAUGCGGAAGCAUUCGGGCGAUCCCUCGAUCGUGACCCGUUGGCCGUGGACGACGUCGGCCUCUGGUACGGCCGCAGGAAGGGCUCCAACCGCAUGGUGCUCGAGCACCGAACUCCCCUGAUGGUGGCGGCCACGUACGGCAGCCUUGACGUCCUCAAGUUCAUCCUCUCCCUGCCGUCUGUCGAGGUCAACCGUGCGUCCGCCCCAGACAACACCACCGCGCUCCACUGUGCUGCAUCCGGCGGAUCCUUUGAUGCUGUUGAUGCCGUGAAGGCACUCCUCGCGGCUGGUGCCGAUCCUACGUUGGUCGAUGUCAAUGGGGACCGCCCGGCCGAUGUGAUUGUCGUGCCUCCCAAGUUGCCUGAUGUGAAGAGUGCCCUCGAACAGCUUCUUGGAAGGCGCAGUAAUGCGUCGGGUGGUGGUGCCGAUCACCAUCAUCUUCCCCUUGGUGUGAUGACCGACUCGACGAGCUCCAAUUCGCCACCGCGUUCUUUGUCCCCUGAUGAGGACGGCACUCGAUCGUCCAACUCGACUUCCUCUCCUCCGACGGCAAAGGACCCUGACCUUCCCCCGGUGAGGGUGUCCGAGAAGAAAGAGUAUCCAGUAGACCCGUCGCUUCCAGAUAUCAAGAACAGCAUAUAUACCACGGAUGAGUUCCGUAUGUUCUCCUUCAAGAUCCGCCCGUGCUCUCGUGCUUAUUCGCAUGACUGGACCGAGUGCCCCUUCGUCCACCCUGGUGAGAACGCCCGGCGGCGUGACCCGAGGAAAUACCACUACAGCUGCGUCCCGUGCCCUGACUUUCGGAAGGGGUCGUGCCGGAGGGGAGACAUGUGUGAGUAUGCACAUGGGGUGUUCGAAUGCUGGCUUCACCCGGCGCAGUACCGCACGAGACUCUGCAAGGAUGGAACCAGUUGCUCCCGCCGGGUCUGUUUCUUUGCGCACACGAACGAGGAGCUGCGUCCGCUCUAUGUGUCAACUGGCUCUGCUGUUCCUUCUCCACGUGCAACCUCUGCUGCAAUGGAGAUGGCAGCUGCGAUGGGGCUCAUGCCCGGCUCGCCGUCAUCGGUCUCUGCUGUUAUGUCUCCCUUCACGCCACCCAUGUCGCCGUCGGCCAAUGGUAUUGGACACUCUUCGUUGGGUUGGCCGCAGCCAAACAUGCCCACGUUGAAUCUUCCUGCAAGCAAUCUCCAGGCAAGCAGGCUGCGCUCAUCUCUCAGUGUGAGAGACAUCCCUCCGGAUGACCUCUCAGCAAUAUCCGAGUUUGAUACCCAGCAGUUGUUGAAUGACCUGUGCUACUCCCGUCUGAGUUCUUCUGCUGGGAAUUGUACCAUCCGAACCAAUACACUGAAUCCAUCAAACCUUGAUGAUCUUUUUUCAGCAGAGGUCGCCAUAUCUCCAAGGUACAAUUCUGAUCAGGGGGCUGUGUUUUCUCCGUCACACAAGGCAGCUAUACUCAACCAGUUCCAGCAGCAGCAGAGCCUGCUCUCACCCAUUAAUACAAGUGUGUUCUCACCGAAGGCGGUGGAUUCUCAGCAGCUACCUGCUCAUUCAUCACUCUUACAGGCCUCUCUGAAUACCUCUUCUCCUGGUGUCAUGUCUCCACGAAGCAUGGAGCCUGUCUCUCCUGUGAGUUCUCGUCUGGCUGUUCUUUCACAAAGGGAGAGGCAACAGCAGACACUCAGGAGCCUGAGCUCCCGUGAUCUUGGUCCCAUCUCAUCUCCUGUUGUUGGCUCUCCUGUUAACUCAUCAUGGUCCAAGUGGGCAUCCCCCUCCGGUACACCUGAUUGGACAGUGAAUGGUGAAGAGCUGGGACGUCUUAGACGAUCAUCAUCCUUUGAAUUACGAGGAAAUGGGGACGAGCCUGAUCUGUCAUGGGUCCAUUCACUAGUGAGGGAAUCACCACCGGAGAAAGUGAUCUCUGCUGCAAUGGCUUCUGCUGGUCCUUCAAGCUUGUCUGCGGUUGGUGGUGAGAAUUUAAAUUCAAACGGUCAGAUGAAUGGGCAUGAUCAACCUGCAUUGCUUGGUGCAUGGCUUGAGCACCAAGAAAUUUUGGAUGGGAAGCAUUCAGUAAUAUUUAACAGUAAUAUUUAAUGACUCUUAUUAUACAAUAUUUUUUGGUUGGUUGGUGAAGAAGGAAAAGAUGCAGAAAGGAGUGAUUUCAGAGAUUCAUUUCUUCAAAAACCGAUUUAUUAUAAACUUCAUGGAGUUCAGUCAAUUCAAAUAUAGGGGUUGAAUCAAGACCGACUCCAGAUGCAGUCAUGGUGGUGGGGCAAGUUAUAGGAAAUUCGGGAAGAACUUAGUCAUGCAGCAUAAUAUUUUAUGGAUGUGUGUUGUUGCCAUCUCUUAUUCCUUACUGACUUUGUGGGAUCCUAAUGGAAGCUUAUGAUGGUGACUGCCUUUUGGAUAUGUUGUAUGCAAUCUCUCAAGCAAACAAAGUUCUCUACGAAGAUGGUGAUUUGUGAUGGUUCAAGUCCUUCCUUAAUGCCCUGUAGUGAGCAUGUCUGGGUUUUGAGGUGUCCUUUCCAAGGUUGUGCAAGAAAAAUCAACAUCAAUGUUUGGGAAUUUAUUAUCGCUUUUGUGGUCUAGAUGUCAAUUUCAUCUUGAGGUAGAAAUGAACUUGUGACACCUAACUGGGAUGGUUAAUAUGGAAUGUGUCGAUUGAUUAUUGGAUGUAGAUGGUUGAGAGUUUGGCAUUGUUAGGUGAACAAAACAGUUGUCCUAACCAGUGCUGCUACCUUGGGAUAGCAUUGAUCACUUUUGAGUCUUUUGGUGGCAACCGUGGGUUAUAGGGACCACAUUUGUGUGUACUUUUUUGUGUUAAGGGACUUUGCAUCUUCUCUUCAACCCUUGGCUGUAUGACAUUAUCAGAAUUACAAGUGGAGGAACUCAGACAUGUUAUCUUGCUUGAUGGGCCAAGUAGGUGGUGGGUUUAACUCACUGAUGGAGCUUGGAGAUCUUUGUGGAAGUUUGCUGACGAAGGCAUCCAGGAUUCAGUGGAUGGGCACUGGGAGAGCCUUAACAAUCUACAGAAGAUGCCAUAACCAUGAAGGUUAUGCAAAGAAAUCGGACUUGGAGAUUAUUAUUAGGGAGCAUUGGCUACAUGUGAAAAUGCCAAGAAAGUUCAUCCAACAUAUGGCCUACCAUGCAGUUUCAUGUCAGAGGUAGGUGACAUGUAUGUUGCUUUUACUUUUGUUGGCAGUAUAAAGGUGAGCAGGAGAUUGUUUCAGAGUGAUUGACUCUUUAUUAAUUUGUGAUAUGUGUUGGAUGUUAUGCAUCUGUCCUUACCUUUUUCUUUUC